AGUGAACGCUGGCGGUAGGCCUAACACAUGCAAGUCGAACGGCCGCACAGUAAGAGCUUGCUCUUACGGGUGGCGAGUGGCGGACGGGUGAGGAAUACAUCGGAAUCUACUUUUUCGUGGGGGAUAACGUAGGGAAACUUACGCUAAUACCGCAUACGACCUACGGGUGGAAUCAGGAGAUCUUCGGACCUUUCGCGAUUGAAUGAGCCGAUGUCGGAUUAGCUAGUUGGCGGGGUAAAGGCCCACCAAGGCAACGAUCCGUAGCUGGUCUGAGAGGAUGAUCAGCCACACUGGAACUGAGACACGGUCCAGACUCCUACGGGAGGCAGCAGUGGGGAAUAUUGGACAAAGGGCGAAAGCCUGAUGGAGCCAUACCGCGUGGGUGAAGAAGGUCUUCGGGUUGUAAAGCUCUUUUGUUGGGAAAGAAAAGAAGUAGGUGAAUAUCCCGAUGUUCUGACGGUACCCAAAGAGUAAGCACCGGCUAACUUCGUG
This 492-nucleotide ribosomal RNA is filed under the name uncultured bacterium. RNAcentral describes it as "partial 16S ribosomal RNA". It matches the Rfam family "Bacterial small subunit ribosomal RNA", at positions 29 to 507 of the family's 1533-position model. The record is from RNAcentral.